This 1884-nucleotide long non-coding RNA is filed under the name Vigna radiata. RNAcentral describes it as "long non-coding RNA (VRAD_LNC010066)". The record is from RNAcentral. Lineage: Eukaryota; Viridiplantae; Streptophyta; Magnoliopsida; Fabales; Fabaceae.
UGGGUGUUGAGAUGUUAGAGUUGGUCUUAGGGACAGUAGAUGUUUUUUAGAUAAAUGCCUUUUGUCUAGAAAAAAUUGUAUGAAGGUUUGCACUUCUUCUGAGAGAACUUUGACCAAAAAAAUUUGUAGUUUUAUCUACACAAAAAAUACAUAAUAAGAGUUUGCUAAAAAUGUACUGAGACCUACAUGUUAGUAAUGGUUAAAUUGUUGAAAUUGUCUUUCUUAUGUAGUUUGUUAAAAAACUGCUUAAUAAAUUUGAAAUAAGCUAUUGCAAAAAGUUUCUCAAAAUUAUUGAAUAGAAUAAUGAGAUAACUGAAGUAAUGGAGGAAUUUUUGUUGGUUCUUCAAUCCAAAGUUUGACAUUGAGUAAAAUAAAGACACUACCAGAACAAAGUUAUUAUAAAAAUGAAAAAUUGAUUUGAGAGAGAUUACCCCAACUCAAUACAUCUUUUACGGGUGUGGUAGACUUGGGUAGUUGUGUUUUAAUCAAAGGUUUACAACUUUUUUUCAAAAAAUUAUACGAGGUGAGUUUCCCUUUUUUCUACAAGAAAUUACAGGAGAAGAGUUUGUAGUUUUCUCCAUAGUAAUAGUAGGUUGACACGCCUACGUGUUACCUACACUCAUUUGACACGGUCCAGGUAAGUUUUUUGAAAAAAAAAAUUGUUCAGUAGACGUGGGUAAAAGGGGAAAAAGAAAAAUAUGGCUUUCGGUCUUCUUUUGCUCCUCUUUCAAAAAUCACAUUUAGGUUUUCUUUCUUUCAAGACGCAUUGUUCUUCAUCAUUCUUCGUCGGUGCUCUUCUUCAUCGUCUUUCAUUGGCACCCUUGAGCUGCUUCAAUCGGUGGUGUGUUUGAGUUAGGCUUCUAAUCGCUGCAUUCUCUGUUUUUACAAGCUGAUUUUCUUUGGAAGGUAAUAACAGAGAAAUAAUUUUAUUUAAUCUUUGGUCUUUGAGUGAGAAACUGCAUUACCUUGAGUCCUUGGUACCUUCCAAGCAUGAGAAUGGUGGCCAAUGGGUUUGUGCCAGGUGACAAAGUAAGAUGUAAAAAUGUAUAGUGGUUGAACUUGAGAUGACAAAGUCUCUUCUCUCAAGUCAUUAGACACACCUACAAAAACAAUCAUUUCUUAGAAUAUAAAAGUCAGGUAUUUUGAUUGUUCAAAAUCAUUAUUCUAUACACUGAUGUCUAUCUUUGGUCCAUAGAAUGCUUCAUCCCCUUCAUUCAACUACAAGGUUUUACACAAAUAUAAGCACAAAGAUAGUAAAGCUUACAAAUGUCAUAUUCCACAGAAAAUAAUAAAACAUUAUGAAAAUAAAAAAUGGAGUGUGUAGGUGUGAGUGAAAAACCUUCACCCAUAUCAACAUAAAGAUGAAGAGAACAAAUGGGUGUUGUCAUAAACAAAAUGAAACUGCCAACAUAAGCAAAUUAGAUGAUAUAAUGCAAAAAGGAAUCAAGGGCGGACUGGAGGAAUGAGCCUGUAGUAGAGCAUUUCGUGUUUUCAAAACUAAAUCAAAAACAAAACUCUCUGUCUCACGCCCUUGCCCCUUUACUCUAGGGUUUUCGAAAAUGAACAAAAAAGAAAACGAAAGAUAGAGAAAUGAUGAGAAAAGAAGAAAUGAAUUGAAAGGGGACAAACCUCAUAUGCUUCGCACUUCGUCGGUUCGAACUCUUCUGAUCAUCGAUCACGUACAGCCUGUGGCAGCUGUACUUCUCUGUUUUUUUUUUCCUUUGUUGCUCUCUCUCUCAACCCCAAUCAGCUCUCACCGAAACACAUCGCAAAUGACAACUUUGCCCUUAAUGACAUUCAGAAUAAUUGGGUCCCACCCCGUGUCAAAUGAGUGUCGAGUGUCGUGUCAAAGAAUUGUUUUCCUUUUCUCCAUGAAAAAUUGCA